CUUCUUCAUGCUGCUGCUGCUGUGCUUCUUCUUCCUCUCCUUCUACUUCCCUUAGCAACCUAGAGUGUUGGAGGAGCUCAAGAGAAGCUCGAGCUUCGUCGACGACGCGCCGCAGAGCGGAUCGAGCGAGUUUUCGACGAGGUGCUGCUCGCAGGGAGGGUUUGUCGAGGAGCAUCGGAACGUGACGCGACUUGAUUCGUUGGAACCGAGACUUCGAGACGAAUCCAUAGGAUCCUUACUCGCCCGAUUUGGAGAAGUUCUCUGUGUAGGAGUGUCGAAAUGCGACGAAAUUUGGUGUGCUAGAUUCGCGACUUCGAGACGAAGAUUUUGAGCCCAAGAUCGCGAUUUUUCGAGCAGGUUUGCCCUGUCGAACCCUAGUUUUACUAGGCUGCUGUUUGCCGAGCAGAUUUCAGAGAUGCUGUUUCGCAGGUUCCAGCGUCGACGUUUCGUAUUCUGGCCCGUUCUCUGCGUAGGAGCGUCGGAAUUCAGCGAAACCUGGGCCAUUGGAUUCGUGACUUCGAGACGAAGCUUCAGAACCCUUGUUUGCUGAAUUUGGAUAAGCAGGAGAACCGGGGACUUCGACGGACCAGCGAGGGAUCAAUUUGGAUCCGGGCCACUUUCUUCGCUGCCAGGAGUUGCUUGAGAGGGCCUUCUGUUUCGGCUGCUGCUCCUUCUGAGGCAGACCGCGGGAAAGGCGUGGCGAGUUAGAGCCUACCCUUCGAGUACAGUGCUAGAGGACUCCCGCUGCAGGUAGUGACAGUUUUUGUUCGGGCGCUUUUGUACAUACAGUUGAACUCGCUGGAGCGAGUAGUGUUCUUUUGUAUCCGUGGCUGAU
Ananas comosus (pineapple) is the source of this 835-nucleotide long non-coding RNA. RefSeq lists it as uncharacterized. The transcript has 5 exons. NCBI's taxonomy places the organism in Eukaryota, Viridiplantae, Streptophyta, Magnoliopsida, Poales, Bromeliaceae. The record is from RefSeq and is a predicted model, not a curated record.